UACAGAGGUCUCGAGCGUUAAUCGGAGUCACUGGGCUUAAAGGGUGCGUAGGCGGUUCUGUAAGUGCUUUGUGAAAUCCCAUGGCUUAACCAUGGAAUUGCUUGGCAUACUGCAGAACUUGAGGUUGGUAGGGGUCGCUGGAACUCUAGGUGGAGCGGUGAAAUGCGUAGAUAUCUAGAGGAACGCCAAAGGUGAAGACAGGCGACUGGGCCAAUUCUGACGCUGAGGCACGAAAGCGUGGGGAG
RNAcentral lists this ribosomal RNA (245 nucleotides) under uncultured bacterium. RNAcentral's name for it is "partial 16S ribosomal RNA". It matches the Rfam family "Bacterial small subunit ribosomal RNA", at positions 524 to 768 of the family's 1533-position model. The record is from RNAcentral.